RNAcentral lists this transfer RNA (71 nucleotides) under Marmota monax (woodchuck). RNAcentral describes it as "tRNA.Ala". Lineage: Eukaryota; Metazoa; Chordata; Mammalia; Rodentia; Sciuridae. The record is from RNAcentral.
GAGGUUAUGGCUCAGCGGUAGAGCACUCGCCUCGCACGUGCAAAGUCCUGAACUCGAUCCUCAGUACCACA